AGGAAUAUUGGUCAAUGGGCGCGAGCCUGAACCAGCCAAGUAGCGUGAAGGAUGAAGGUCCUACGGAUUGUAAACUUCUUUUAUAAGGGAAUAAAGUCACCCACGUGUGGGUGUUUGUAUAUACCUUAUGAAUAAGCAUCGGCUAACUCCGUGCCAGCAGCCGCGGUAAUACGGAGGAUGCGAGCGUUAUCCGGAUUUAUUGGGUUUAAAGGGAGCGUAGACGGGCCGUUAAGUCAGCUGUGAAAGUUUGAGGCUCAACCUUAAAAUUGCAGUUGAUACUGGCGUCCUUGAGUACGGUUGAGGCAGGCGGAAUUCGUGGUGUAGCGGUGAAAUGCUUAGAUAUCACGAAGAACCCCGAUUGCGAAGGCAGCCUGCUAAACCGCCACUGACGUUGAGGCUCGAAAGUGUGGGUAUCAAACAGGAUUAGAUACCCUGGUAGUCCACACGGUAAACGAUGGAUACUCGCUGUUGGCGAUAGACUGUCAGCGGCUUAGCGAAAGCGUUAAGUAUCCCACCUGGGGAGUACGCCGGCAACGGUGAAACUCAAAGGAAUUGACGGGGGCCCGCACAAGCGGAGGAACAUGUGGUUUAAUUCGAUGAUACGCGAGGAACCUUACCCGGGCUUGAAUUGCAGACGAAUUGCUUGGAAACAGGCAAGCCGCAAGGCGUCUGUGAAGGUGCUGCAUGGUUGUCGUCAGCUCGUGCCGUGAGGUGUCGGCUUAAGUGCCAUAACGAGCGCAACCCUCGUGUCCAGUUACUAGCAGGUUAUGCUGAGGACUCUGGACAGACUGCCAUCGUAAGAUGUGAGGAAGGUGGGGAUGACGUCAAAUCAGCACGGCCCUUACGUCCGGGGCUACACACGUGUUACAAUGGGGGGUACAGCAGGCAGCUACCGGGCGACCGGAUGCCAAUCCCGAAAGCCUCUCUCAGUUCGGACUGGAGUCUGCAACCCGACUCCACGAAGCUGGAUUCGCUAGUAAUCGCGCAUCAGCCACGGCGCGGUGAAUACGUUCCCG
RNAcentral lists this ribosomal RNA (1016 nucleotides) under uncultured bacterium. Its description in RNAcentral is "bacterial SSU rRNA". It matches the Rfam family "Bacterial small subunit ribosomal RNA", at positions 357 to 1376 of the family's 1533-position model. The record is from RNAcentral.